UAGAGUACACUUCAGAUAUUGAAAGGUUACCGCCGCUCUUUUGUGUGAAGAGUACUGGAAAGUGGAGGAGGACUACUAUGAACAAAUUAUAUAGAGUCCCGAAGUUGGUUACGGAUAAUGGCCAAGAGAAUACUCCUCUUAUUCAUACGGCAUCGCCAAUAGUAUUUGAAUCAAGAAAAGCUGAAUUAAUUUUCUUAAUUGUGGAGAAGACGUACGAGUUGAAUGAGCUCACUACAGAAUUACGAGAAUUAGAAGAGCGUAGUGCUAGAUG
Long non-coding RNA from Asparagus officinalis (garden asparagus), 271 nucleotides. RefSeq lists it as uncharacterized. The record is from RefSeq and is a predicted model, not a curated record. NCBI's taxonomy places the organism in Eukaryota, Viridiplantae, Streptophyta, Magnoliopsida, Asparagales, Asparagaceae. The transcript has 2 exons.